GACGAACGCUGGCGGCGUGCUUAACACAUGCAAGUCGAGCGACUGCAUUCUUUUCGGAGGGUGUAUGGAGCGGCGAACGGGUGAGUAACACGUGAGUAAUCUGCCUUUGGCUUGGGAAUAACUUCGGGAAAUCGGGGCUAAUGCCUGAUGUUUACUGUCUGCUGCAUGGUGGGUGGUGGAAAGAUUUUUUGGUCCGAGGAGUGAGCUCGCGGUCUAUCAGCUUG
RNAcentral lists this ribosomal RNA (224 nucleotides) under uncultured bacterium. RNAcentral describes it as "partial 16S ribosomal RNA". It matches the Rfam family "Bacterial small subunit ribosomal RNA", at positions 28 to 248 of the family's 1533-position model. The record is from RNAcentral.